UGGGUAACCUGCCUUAUAGUGGGGGAUAGCCUUUCGAAAGGAAGAUUAAUACCGCAUAAGAUUGUAGUAUCGCAUGAUAUAGCAAUUAAAGGAGCAGUUCGCUAUAAGAUGGACCCGCGUCGCAUUAGCUAGUUGGUGAGGUAAUGGCUCACCAAGGCGACGAUGCGUAGCCGACCUGAGAGGGUGAUCGGCCACAUUGGGACUGAGACACGGCCCAGACUCCUACGGGAGGCAGCAUG
RNAcentral lists this ribosomal RNA (239 nucleotides) under uncultured bacterium. RNAcentral describes it as "partial 16S ribosomal RNA". It matches the Rfam family "Bacterial small subunit ribosomal RNA", at positions 118 to 353 of the family's 1533-position model. The record is from RNAcentral.